UCAGUAUUUCGUAAAGUUUCCAACGUGG
RNAcentral lists this small RNA (28 nucleotides) under Bombyx mori (domestic silkworm). Its description in RNAcentral is "ovarian small RNA-25781". Lineage: Eukaryota; Metazoa; Arthropoda; Insecta; Lepidoptera; Bombycidae. The record is from RNAcentral.